RNAcentral lists this ribosomal RNA (164 nucleotides) under Tellima grandiflora. RNAcentral's name for it is "5.8S ribosomal RNA". It matches the Rfam family "5.8S ribosomal RNA". Rfam says of the family: 5.8S ribosomal RNA (5.8S rRNA) is a component of the large subunit of the eukaryotic ribosome. It is transcribed by RNA polymerase I as part of the 45S precursor that also contains 18S and 28S rRNA. The record is from RNAcentral. RNAcentral also lists the same sequence under 25 other names. Lineage: Eukaryota; Viridiplantae; Streptophyta; Magnoliopsida; Saxifragales; Saxifragaceae.
UUAAUGACUCUCGGCAACGGAUAUCUCGGCUCUCGCAUCGAUGAAGAACGUAGCGAAAUGCGAUACUUGGUGUGAAUUGCAGAAUCCCGUGAACCAUCGAGUUUUUGAACGCAAGUUGCGCCCGAAGCCAUCUGGUUGAGGGCACGUCUGCCUGGGCGUCACGU